Molecule: ribosomal RNA, 326 nt
Filed under: uncultured eukaryote
Lineage: Eukaryota
Description: partial 18S ribosomal RNA
Rfam family: Eukaryotic small subunit ribosomal RNA
Source: RNAcentral
CCCUUAGAUGUUCUGGGCCGCACGCGCGCUACACUGAUGCAUUCAACAAGCCUAGCCUUGACCGAGAGGUCCGGGUAAUCUUUGAAACUGCAUCGUGAUGGGGCUAGAUUAUUGCAAUUAUUAAUCUUCAACGAGGAAUGCCUAGUAAGCGUGAUUCAUCAAAUCGCGUUGAUUACGUCCCUGCCCUUUGUACACACCGCCCGUCGCUCCUACCGAUUGAAUGUGUUGGUGAGGAGCUCGGAUUGGCAGCAGUUGGUGGUUCGCCACCGGCUAUUGCUGAGAAGUCCUCUAAACCGCCCCAUUUAGAGGAAGGAGAAGUCGUAACA